CCUUGCUAAACAGGACCCAUGGGGGAGAGAUUUGAAGAAGCCAUCAGGGUUUUGACUAGAAGGCAGGGGUCCUCAAAGCUGUGAAAGUCUGAUCUAUCAGAGGUGGCUGCCAAGCUGUGCUUUCUUCUGCAGAUGGCAAAAGAAAAAGAUGUGAAACAAGACAUGUUUAAAUGGAAGAGAGAGGAAUGAGAGAGGAAGGCAAGAAUACAAAUAUUUAAGAAAGCUUUAUUUUCCUGAAGCAAAGAAUGACACUUGAAACCGAGGGAAUCUCAAUGUCCACCUUGCAUUUCCAUGACCAGCAAGAGAGGGGAACCCCUACAGGAAUGUUCAUCCUCUGCCUCUGACCUGGGAAGUCUCAGUCAUCCCCGAGGACCAAUUCCAAAUGUCAAUUCAUUCACCACCAUUGCCCUUGUCAUUGCAUCCACUCCUCCUCUCUCUCUGACUUGUGUUAAUGGUAGGUAACUGUGUAUGAAUCUAGGCUGGGGGUUUGUCUUUGAGGUCAAGGACUAUUUCUGAUUCACUGUGUGUCUCCCUAAAUCCUUCUUCCACCCAGCAAAGAUGCUCAAAAUAUAUAUACAAAUGAUAAAAAAAAAAAA
This 596-nucleotide long non-coding RNA is filed under the name Homo sapiens (human). RNAcentral describes it as "long independently transcribed non-coding RNA 1698 (LINC01698)". Lineage: Eukaryota; Metazoa; Chordata; Mammalia; Primates; Hominidae. The record is from RNAcentral.